ACGCUCGACACCUACGGGAAGCAGCAGUCGGGAAUAUUGCGCAAUGGAGGAAACUCUGACGCAGUGACGCCGCGUGCAGGAAGAAGGUUUUCGGAUUGUAAACUGCUUUAGACAGGGAAGAAAGAAAUGACAGUACCUAUAGAAUAAGCUCCGGCUAACUACGUGCCAGCAGCCGCGGUAAUCUGAGCGGGCUGGCAAGGC
RNAcentral lists this ribosomal RNA (201 nucleotides) under uncultured bacterium. RNAcentral describes it as "partial 16S ribosomal RNA". It matches the Rfam family "Bacterial small subunit ribosomal RNA", at positions 326 to 539 of the family's 1533-position model. The record is from RNAcentral.